ACUCCUACGGGAGGCAGCAGUGGGGAAUAUUGCACAAUGGGCGCAAGCCUGAUGCAGCCAUGCCGCGUGUAUGAAGAAGGCCUUCGGGUUGUAAAGUACUUUCAGCAGUGAGGAAGGCGUGAUAGUUAAUAGCAUAUUCUUUGACGUUAGCUGCAGAAGAAGCACCGGCUAACUCCGUGCCAGCAGCCGCGGUAAUACGGAGGGUGCGAGCGUUAAUCGGAAUUACUGGGCGUAAAGCGCAUGCAGGUGGUUUGUUAAGUCAGAUGUGAAAGCCCGGGGCUCAACCUCGGAAU
RNAcentral lists this ribosomal RNA (293 nucleotides) under uncultured bacterium. Its description in RNAcentral is "partial 16S ribosomal RNA". It matches the Rfam family "Bacterial small subunit ribosomal RNA", at positions 335 to 621 of the family's 1533-position model. The record is from RNAcentral.